Molecule: long non-coding RNA, 229 nt
Organism: Strongylocentrotus purpuratus (purple sea urchin)
Lineage: Eukaryota; Metazoa; Echinodermata; Echinoidea; Camarodonta; Strongylocentrotidae
Exons: 3
Source: RefSeq, a predicted model, not a curated record
AUGGAUCUUGUUAAUGGACAUUACUGCGAUUGCCUUCUAGGAUUCAGUGGUGCAUACUGUCAAAUUAAUGACGAUGACUGUUCGAGUGAUACUUGUGAGAAUGAUGGUACGUGUUUGGAUGGUAUAGGAGGAUACACGUGUAUCUGUGCACCAGGAUGGGACGAUCCCAAUUGUCAGACAAAUAUUGACGAAUGUGAUUCUCAGCCCUGCCAGAACGAAGGAACAUGUU